AAUGACCAGGACAAAGGGUCGCGAUCCCGCGAGGGUGAGCUAACCCCAAAAACCUGUCCCCAGUUCGGAUUGCAGGCUGCAACUCGCCUGCAUGAAG
Molecule: non-coding RNA, 97 nt
Filed under: Ipomoea nil (Japanese morning glory)
Lineage: Eukaryota; Viridiplantae; Streptophyta; Magnoliopsida; Solanales; Convolvulaceae
Description: Bacterial small subunit ribosomal RNA
Rfam family: Bacterial small subunit ribosomal RNA
Source: Rfam by way of RNAcentral